GAUCAAGUGUCUUAAGGGCAUUUGGUGGAUGCC
Molecule: ribosomal RNA, 33 nt
Filed under: Brucella intermedia
Lineage: Bacteria; Pseudomonadati; Pseudomonadota; Alphaproteobacteria; Hyphomicrobiales; Brucellaceae
Description: Ochrobactrum intermedium partial 23S ribosomal RNA
Source: RNAcentral